UCAAAUUGAAUGCUUCCUGUAGUUUGUAAUAUCUUUGAAAUGUUUGUGACUAGCCUCAGUUAUUUAAGAGCAUAAUAAAUUACAUCAUGAGCCAGAGGAUGGGUUUACAAGAUAUCUACAGUUCAGAUAGUAGUGUUUGGAGUCCAUUGUCUGAUAAAAGGAAGAAAAUUAGCUUAAUUUCAAGGCUUUGGAUGUUUUGUGUUACUGUACUGCCUCCUGAUUACUAAAAGCUAUUUAUUAUGUUUUACACCUGCUACUCUACUGCUUGUUAUCUGUCUAAUGACAGAGUAAAUCAGCCAACCUGAGGCUACUCCAAUAAUCCCUCUUUACAUCUUUAACGGAUGCCACCUCAGUAUUCAGUUCAACAAAUAACAGAACUAUUAAAUUUUAGAUAUCAAGCACAACUUUCAUUACGACUUGAAGAUCAAAAUGGCCUAUGGACAUUAACUUGAUAGCAGGUGCAAAUAAGACAACUUACCUUGGGGAGCUACUGAAGAUCUGAUCAUGUCAGAGUAAUGUCAAAGUGCUUACAGUGCAGGUAGUGAUAUAAGAACCUACUGCAGUGAAGGCACUUGUAGCAUUAUAUUGACAAGUGCCACUGGAUAUCUUGCAGAACUACAGAAAUUUUCAAGGUGCAAUGUGGUAUUAAGUGCUUUUUGUUCUAAGGUGCAUCUAGUGCAGAUAGUGAAGUAGAUUAGCAUCUACUGCCCUAAGUGCUCCUUCUGGCAUAAGAAGUUAUAUCUUCAUCCAGUCACUCAGGCUGAUUGAGAAUAUAGAUGUUCCAAUAGCUGCUCAGCAGUCCUCUGUUAGUUUUGCAUAGUUGCACUACAAGAAGAAUGUAGUUGUGCAAAUCUAUGCAAAACUGAUGGUGGCCUGUUAUUGUCUACAUCAAGAAAGUGAAUGUUUUUUACUGCUUGUUUAUGUAUUUUGUUGGUCUUGCUUUCAUAGCGGUUCCUUCAGUUUAGUAAAUAUGACAGCUCCUGUGGUACUAAAGUGCUUAUAGUGCAGGUAGUGUUCAGUAAUCUACUGCAUUAUGAGCACUUAAAGUACUGCUAGCUGUAGAACUACAACUUCAGCAUGCCUUCCUAUCAGACUAACUUGUUUUGUUUAAUUGAACACUGUUCUCUGGUUAGUUUUGCAGGUUUGCAUCCAGCUGUGUGAUACUCUGCUGUGCAAAUCCAUGCAAAACUGACUGUGGCAGUGACAAGUCAGUGAAUAAGUGAGGAAAGUUGUACCCCUUUCUACACAGGUUGGGAUCAGUUGCAAUGCUGUGUGUGCCUGUAGUAUUGCACUUGUCCCGGCCUGUUGAGGUUGGUGGGGACACAGGCUGCAACAUCUUCAGUAAUUUGAUUAUUUUAGGAAGUGACACUGCAUUUUUCCAGAAAAUCUGAAUACCUAAUAACUUGUUUUCUGAACUGUUCCAUGUAAACUAAUGUAUGGCUGGACAUCAAAUGCCACAGACAUUUCUGUAUUUGUAAAUUGUCUUAUUGUAUGCUUACUAAAUUAAUGUUCAAUAA
Long non-coding RNA from Gopherus flavomarginatus (Mexican gopher tortoise), 1517 nucleotides. RefSeq lists it as uncharacterized. Lineage: Eukaryota; Metazoa; Chordata; Testudines; Testudinidae. The transcript has 2 exons. The record is from RefSeq and is a predicted model, not a curated record.